GCCAGGUGUGGUGGCGGGCACCUGUAAUCCCAGCUACUCGGGAGGCUGAGGCAGGAGAAUCACUUGAACCCAGGAGGCAGAGGUUGCAGUGAGCCAAGAUGGUGCCACUGCACUCUAGCCUGGGCAACAAAGUGAGACUCUGCCUCAA
RNAcentral lists this signal recognition particle RNA (148 nucleotides) under Homo sapiens (human). RNAcentral describes it as "Metazoan signal recognition particle RNA". It matches the Rfam family "Metazoan signal recognition particle RNA". Rfam says of the family: The signal recognition particle (SRP) is a universally conserved ribonucleoprotein. Lineage: Eukaryota; Metazoa; Chordata; Mammalia; Primates; Hominidae. The record is from Rfam by way of RNAcentral.